Molecule: small nuclear RNA, 104 nt
Organism: Kogia breviceps (pygmy sperm whale)
Lineage: Eukaryota; Metazoa; Chordata; Mammalia; Artiodactyla; Physeteridae
Source: RefSeq, a predicted model, not a curated record
GUGCUUGGUUCAGCAGCGCAGAUACUAAAAUUGGAACAAUACAGAGAUUAGCAUGGCGCCUGUGCAAGAAUGACACUGAAAUUUGUGAAGUGUUCCAAAUUUUU